AGUAAUGUAUGGGGAUCUACUCGAUGGCGGGGGGAUAACUACUGGAAACGGUAGCUAAUACCGCAUAAUGUCUGCGGACCAAAGCGGGGGACCUCCGGGCCUCGCGCCAUCAGAUGAACCCAUAUGGGAUUAGCUUGUAGGUAAGGUAACGGCUUACCUAGGCGACGAUCCCUAGCUGGUCUGAGAGGAUGAUCAGCCACACUGGGACUGAGACACGGCCCAG
RNAcentral lists this ribosomal RNA (223 nucleotides) under uncultured bacterium. RNAcentral describes it as "partial 16S ribosomal RNA". It matches the Rfam family "Bacterial small subunit ribosomal RNA", at positions 109 to 334 of the family's 1533-position model. The record is from RNAcentral.